AUUUAACGAUUAUGAGAGUAUCCAUUAUUCUGUAUACGGCACACGGGUUAGCUCUGCUGUAAAUAUAUGAGAUACUGUCAACAGUUAUAAGGUUAACUCGGUUAAAAUUAUAAAUAUAAUACAUUAAUGCCCUGUUACUGGAUUAGGCAUUUUUCAUAUUAUUAUUACGGGAGUAUAGGUAUUACGUAGUACGGUAUAACUACGAAGGUAGAGGUACAUUAUUGAUAUUUUUCAUUAGACAGACAUUUUUAUGAGUACCUAUCCGUUGUUCAUACAUUAUGACGGAGUUAUGUAACCUAAUCGUUUCGAUUUCGAUAUGAAGUACACGUACGUAUAGUAUAGGUGCCGAAGUGAAUAUAAUUGGACUUGUAGGUAAUUUUAUAAAAAUUGUA
This is a non-coding RNA of Cinara cedri, 392 nucleotides long. The record is from the annotation of a GenBank genome assembly. Lineage: Eukaryota; Metazoa; Arthropoda; Insecta; Hemiptera; Aphididae.